GCCUUGGUGGCUCAAUAGUUAAGUGCUUGGCUAUUAACCAAAAGGCUGAUGGUUCAAACCCACCCAAUGGCU
This 72-nucleotide transfer RNA is filed under the name Loxodonta africana (African savanna elephant). It matches the Rfam family "tRNA". From Rfam's summary of the family: Transfer RNA (tRNA) molecules are approximately 80 nucleotides in length. Their secondary structure includes four short double-helical elements and three loops (D, anti-codon, and T loops). The record is from Rfam by way of RNAcentral. Lineage: Eukaryota; Metazoa; Chordata; Mammalia; Proboscidea; Elephantidae.